This is a long non-coding RNA of Helianthus annuus (common sunflower), 978 nucleotides long. RefSeq lists it as uncharacterized. Lineage: Eukaryota; Viridiplantae; Streptophyta; Magnoliopsida; Asterales; Asteraceae. The record is from RefSeq and is a predicted model, not a curated record. The transcript is spliced from 2 exons.
ACCACCACCACCUCCGCCAUAGCACCACCACCAUCAUCUCACCACCGCCAUCAUCACACCACCGCCAUCAUCACACCACCUCCAUCUCACCGCCGCCAUCAUCUCACCGCCGCCAUCAUCUCACCGCUGCCAUCAGAAAGAAAGAGAGGGAACCAGAGAGAGGAGAGAACUGGCGGAGCCGCCGCCGUCUCCGACCUUCCGUCUCCGACCUUCAUCUCCGCCAUCACACCACCGCCUUCAUCUCACCACCGCCAUCACACCGAUGAAGAUGAUGGUUGGUUGGUGGGUUUCGGAGGAGAUGGAGAAGAGGAGUAUUGGUGAAGAGGUGAGAAGAGGUUAGAAGACAUGGGCUAAUGUCUGUGUGGGGAAGAGGUCUCGCAGACCUUUUUUAAUGAAAGGUCUGCGAGAAAACAAACAAGCUGCAGGACCCAAAGGUCUGCGCGCGUCUGCGCGACGCAGACAAAAGUGGCCAGAAGUGUUUCUGGCAGGAAAACAAACAGAACCUAAAAGUCUAAAACACAUAGUUAAAAGUAUAUAAAAUCUAAGAUAAAGAUUGAAAAAAAUAAAAUGUCUUAGCCACCAGGCACUUAUUAAAUACUCUUAAGCAUAACUUUUUAGUUAUAUAUUGUUUUUAGCCCAGUUGGGUAUCCCCACUUGGGUUAAGUUGGGCCGGCUUCCUCCUUGGAGGUCGCCGGUUUGACUUCUGGCUGCGGCAUACGGGGGUGGGAGUCCCAAUGAUGGAUCGUUCCUACCGAGGCAUGGUGCGGUCCUGAGGGUAACCCGGUUUUACCCAGCUGUUACCCCAGCGAGUCUCUCGUGUGGGGGCAGUAUGGUUUCCGGGCGGAAGUCAGCUUGCGCAACGGCCGGGGCCCGAUCGAACAUCGCGUCCGGAAGAACGGGGCUGACGGGGGAAUGUCUUUGACAUGACCCCGGAGACCAAUUCGGUCUUGUACAGAGAAAGUCUCCUUCCAAAAAAAA